Molecule: ribosomal RNA, 445 nt
Filed under: uncultured rumen bacterium
Lineage: Bacteria
Description: bacterial SSU rRNA
Rfam family: Bacterial small subunit ribosomal RNA
Source: RNAcentral
GGUAUGGGAUGAGCUUGCGUCCGAUUAGCUAGUUGGCGGGGCAACGGCCUACCAAGGCGACGAUCGGUAGCCGGCCUGAGAGGGUGAUCGGCCACAUUGGGACUGAGAUACGGCCCAGACUCCUACGGGAGGCAGCAGUAGAGAAUAUUGCACAAUGGGGAAACCCUGAUGCAGCAACGCCACGUGUGGGAAGAAGCAUUUCGGUGUGUAAACCACUGUCAUGAGGGAAUAAGGCCUGUCUUUGGGCAGGAUUGAAUGUACCUUGAGAGGAAGCACCGGCAAACUUCGUGCCAGCAGCCGCGGUAAUACGAGGGGUGCAAGCGUUGUUCGGAAUUACUGGGCGUAAAGGGAGCGUAGGCGGAGAUUCAAGCGGAUUGUACAAUCCCGGGGCCCAACCCCGGCUCUGCAGUCCGAACUGGAUCUCUUGGAUAGUUCAGGGGCAGGC